GACGAACGCUGGCGGCGUGCUUAACACAUGCAAGUCGAACGGAAAGGCCCUGCUUGCAGGGUGCUCGAGUGGCGAACGGGUGAGUAACACGUGGGUGAUCUGCCCCUUACUUUGGGAUAAGCCUGGGAAACUGGGUCUAAUACUGGAUAGGACCAUGCUGUAGGUGGUGUGGUGGAAAGAUUAGUUUCGGUAAGGGAUGAGCUCGCGGCCUAUCAGCUUGUUGGUGGGGUAAUGGCCUACCAAGGCGUCGACGGGUGGCCGGCCUGAGAGGGUGGACGGCCACAUUGGGACUGAGAUACGGCCCAGACUCCUACGGGAGGCAGCAGUGGGGAAUAUUGCACAAUGGGCGCAAGCCUGAUGCAGCGACGCCGCGUGGGGGAUGACGGCCUUCGGGUUGUAAACUCCUUGCAGCCAUGACGAAGCCCUUGUGGUGACGGUAGUGGUAGAAGAAGCACCGGCUAACUACGUG
This 469-nucleotide ribosomal RNA is filed under the name uncultured bacterium. RNAcentral describes it as "partial 16S ribosomal RNA". It matches the Rfam family "Bacterial small subunit ribosomal RNA", at positions 28 to 507 of the family's 1533-position model. The record is from RNAcentral.